This is a long non-coding RNA of Limulus polyphemus (Atlantic horseshoe crab), 594 nucleotides long. RefSeq lists it as uncharacterized. The record is from RefSeq and is a predicted model, not a curated record. NCBI's taxonomy places the organism in Eukaryota, Metazoa, Arthropoda, Merostomata, Xiphosura, Limulidae. The transcript has 3 exons.
AACAUGAUUUGUACUUCUAGCUCCAGAAAAAGUUGAUUCCUUGGAAGAAAGUUUUCUACAUACUGGUUUGAAGUUUGGUAAAACAAAAGAAAACAAAGAAACAAAUUGUGAUGUAGCAUCAGAGAAAAUUGAGAACAUGUCUGUUCAAGUGAAAAUGGAACAUCCUGAUGAUCUACUAGAAGUUGUUUCAAAGUUCAGUUACAGUGAUGAUGAGAAUCAGGAUAGUUCGUUCUAUAAUGUUAUGAACCUGACAACAGAAACUGAAUUUCAAAGAGAGAUUGAAUCAGGGCUAGAAAGAACAUGUGUUUUUAUGAAUAUCUGGCCACAUUGGUAUUCACCAGAACGAGUCCGUCUGCUCUGGUGCCGUUAUGGCCGUGCCUGUCCCAUACAUGGACAAUGGUCCUGUCUUCAAAGCACAACUAUGUGCCAGUUUGUAGUUGACUUGGGGUGAGCAAUGUCAUAACAAGCUUUUUCAGAUGAAACCUUCUGUUGCUCUUUGGACGUUGGACAAUGUCAUUGGCGAUGAUGACACUGUCCAACUUGAUUGUAUUUUUAAUUUUUUAAGAACAAUUGGCCUUUUUUAAUUGCAUAUAA